ACUCCUACGGGAGGCAGCAGUGGGAAUAUUGGACAAUGGGCGCAAGCCUGAUCCAGCAAUGCCGCGUGCAGGAAGAAGGCCUUCGGGUUGUAAACUGCUUUUGUCAGGGAAGAAAUCCUUUGGGCUAAUACCUCGGAGGGAUGACGGUACCUGAAGAAUAAGCACCGGCUAACUACGUGCCAGCAGCCGCGGUAAUACGUAGGGUGCGAGCGUUAAUCGGAAUUACUGGCGUAAAGCGUGUGCAGGCGGCUUUGCAAGACAGAGGUGAAAUCCCCGGGCUCAACCUGGGAACUGCCUUUGUGACUGCAAGGCUAGAGUACGGCAGAGGGGAUGGAAUUCCGCGUGUAGCAGUGAAAUGCGUAGAUAUGCGGAGGAACACCGAUGGCGAAGGCAAUCCCCUGGGCCUGUACUGACGCUCAUGCACGAAAGCGUGGGGAGCAAACAGGAUUAGAUACCCUGGUAGGCUCU
This 468-nucleotide ribosomal RNA is filed under the name uncultured bacterium. Its description in RNAcentral is "bacterial SSU rRNA". It matches the Rfam family "Bacterial small subunit ribosomal RNA", at positions 335 to 798 of the family's 1533-position model. The record is from RNAcentral.